CCCCUCUCAGGGUCGCACCUGGAGAGUUUCCAGUCCUCUACCAGUCUUAAUUAUGGGAGGGAGAGUCAAGCAGACACAUACACAUUCCAUUCCUAGCUUGGGCAGUGGCUAGCGAGUGGAAGGCCAUCAGCUACAAGU
This is a small nucleolar RNA of Tachyglossus aculeatus (Australian echidna), 138 nucleotides long. The record is from RefSeq and is a predicted model, not a curated record. NCBI's taxonomy places the organism in Eukaryota, Metazoa, Chordata, Mammalia, Monotremata, Tachyglossidae.